GGAACAGCUGCAGCCAGGUCAGCACUGGCUCCCACUAAGGCCAGCUGCAUGCUCAGGUGUGGCAGAAAGACAGUGCCAGGCACACAGGCAAGGACGAAGAAGCACGCUGGUCGCUACUGCUACAGAUGGAACACAGGGUCUUACACACUAGGGAGGUGUUCUGCAAUGAGUCCCAAGUCCACAGGGGACUCAGCUGUCACGGUGCAUUGGGCACAGUGUAUGCAGCUGACUCAAGACGUGCUGCAACAUAGCUAACUCCAGCAUCUUCCUGAAAGUUAAUGUCCACAAUCUGAACUUUGAAGACCCUUUGACAAGAGAAGGGAAGUCCCUGUAAGUGGGAGCCCACACAUCCUUGCCUAAUUUUCAAAGGAAAAGUCUUUGGUCUUCUUACUGGCUUCAGUGUACAACUGCAAAUGCUAGGCAGGCAACGAGCACACGGCCAAUAGGAAAUGCCACGGUCGGCCUAGUUCGGCACCCCCAGAAGGCAGUCACAAAAGGUCGGGGACUAACAAGUGUUUCUCCUCGCCUGUGAUGCUGUACCUGCUCUUGCCACGUGGGACAGGGGCCACCCUAUAGCAUCAUACCCUCUUGAUACUGACUUAACAUAAACAUGUGGCGGACAAGAGACGUGACCUAAGGAAUCUAAGACAGCUCUUGGCGCUCUGCUGUUUCCACAAAACCUCAACGGCUGCAGAGAAAAGCCCAGUCUCCAGCAACAAGAGCCCCGCACCUGCACCACUGCCUGGCUGAGACCUGAGACAGCCCCACAGAGGACAAUUUCAGAGUCUCUGCACCUGUGGCCUCAGAUCACUUCUCUUCAGCAGGAGCUUCAACUUCUGACAACUGAAGCCCCCCAGGCUAAAGACAGUCUGACUGAAACUCGGCCGUCUCCACCUCCUCCCGGGAUCAGAAGUGGAGGUCAUUUUGCAAUCAAUACUAGCAAUUUACCAAGACUCACUGAGAACAGUAGGCAGGUGUGUGUAUGUGUGGCGAGAGAGAGGGGAGAGGAGAGGAAGAGAGAGAGAUUGAUUAAAGGAUUAAGAGCCCUGGGAAAAUUCCCAGAAGGGAUUAGGAGUUACUGUAAUGAAGAAGGGAAUGGCAACAAUUCUCCCCAUUUUAUAGGAAGGAAAACAAAGGCCUGAAAUGCAA
Molecule: long non-coding RNA, 1149 nt
Organism: Mesocricetus auratus (golden hamster)
Lineage: Eukaryota; Metazoa; Chordata; Mammalia; Rodentia; Cricetidae
Exons: 3
Source: RefSeq, a predicted model, not a curated record